Malania oleifera is the source of this 106-nucleotide small nucleolar RNA. Lineage: Eukaryota; Viridiplantae; Streptophyta; Magnoliopsida; Santalales; Ximeniaceae. The record is from RefSeq and is a predicted model, not a curated record.
ACCUGAUGGUGUGGGCAUUUAUGGAGCAGGUCCUUGAAGCGCUCCCAGGUCUCAAAGAAAUGUUUCCCAUCCGUCUAUGUGAAACUUGUGAUUGCCCUUCGUAGCU